Molecule: ribosomal RNA, 776 nt
Filed under: Microbacterium sp. BR-29
Lineage: Bacteria; Bacillati; Actinomycetota; Actinomycetes; Micrococcales; Microbacteriaceae
Description: bacterial SSU rRNA
Rfam family: Bacterial small subunit ribosomal RNA
Source: RNAcentral
UGCAAGUCGAACGGUGAAGCAGAGCUUGCUCUGUGGAUCAGUGGCGAACGGGUGAGUAACACGUGAGCAAUCUGCCCCUGACUCUGGGAUAAGCGCUGGAAACGGCGUCUAAUACCGGAUACGAGCUGCGAAGGCAUCUUCAGCAGUUGGAAAGAAUUUCGGUCAGGGAUGAGCUCGCGGCCUAUCAGCUUGUUGGUGAGGUAAUGGCUCACCAAGGCGUCGACGGGUAGCCGGCCUGAGAGGGUGACCGGCCACACUGGGACUGAGACACGGCCCAGACUCCUACGGGAGGCAGCAGUGGGGAAUAUUGCACAAUGGGCGCAAGCCUGAUGCAGCAACGCCGCGUGAGGGAUGACGGCCUUCGGGUUGUAAACCUCUUUUAGCAAGGAAGAAGCGAAAGUGACGGUACUUGCAGAAAAAGCGCCGGCUAACUACGUGCCAGCAGCCGCGGUAAUACGUAGGGCGCAAGCGUUAUCCGGAAUUAUUGGGCGUAAAGAGCUCGUAGGCGGUUUGUCGCGUCUGCUGUGAAAACUGGAGGCUCAACCUCCAGCCUGCAGUGGGUACGGGCAGACUAGAGUGCGGUAGGGGAGAUUGGAAUUCCUGGUGUAGCGGUGGAAUGCGCAGAUAUCAGGAGGAACACCGAUGGCGAAGGCAGAUCUCUGGGCCGUAACUGACGCUGAGGAGCGAAAGGGUGGGGAGCAAACAGGCUUAGAUACCCUGGUAGUCCACCCCGUAAACGUUGGGAACUAGUUGUGGGGUCCAUUCCACGGAUUCCG